This is a long non-coding RNA of Helianthus annuus (common sunflower), 599 nucleotides long. RefSeq lists it as uncharacterized. The record is from RefSeq and is a predicted model, not a curated record. Lineage: Eukaryota; Viridiplantae; Streptophyta; Magnoliopsida; Asterales; Asteraceae. The transcript has 5 exons.
UUGUUGUAUAGCUGUUUCCAGAUGGCAGUGGAUGAUGUUCAUAAUCCGCUUCUUGCAGAAACAACUUGUGGAUCUUUACUACUUCAAUUGCAGUUGGAGAAAGUGAGGAGGAAAGAGAUAAGAUGCUUCUUCAGUUAGAACAAGAGUGUUUAAAUGUGUAGAAAAGGAAAGUUGACCAGGCUGCAAAGUCAAAGGAUCGUCUUCUUCAAGCAAUGGCAGAUGCUAACCGUGAAGUCAAUGCCCUUCUUGCAUCUCUAGGAGAGAAAUCAUCUGUUAACAUUCCUGACAAGACUUCGGGAACCAUCAAAGCACGUCUUGCUGCUAUUGCACCGGCUCUAGAACAAUUGUGGAUGCAGAAGGAAGAGAGGAUAAAAUAGUUUUCAGAUGUGCAGACACAAAUUCAGAAAAUACGUGUGCAGGGAAUGAUAAGCUUACACAAAGCUUUAAAGUUGAUGAAUCUGAUCUAUCCUUGAAGAAGUUGAAAGAAUUUUAUGAUCAUCUUCAAGAACUUCAAAAAGAAAAGAGCCAGAGAUUGGACAAAGUUCUUGAAUUUGUGAACAAAUUACAUGAUAUUUGUGGUGUACUUGGGAUUGAUUUUU